CCCUAAUUCGCCUUUCUCCAUGCCAAGUCUGCACCAAUUUUAGCAUGGAGGUAGGCAUUGUGUGCGAGUGCUCUGUGCCUGCCAGAGCACUGACCUCCACAGCACCAACAGUACUGGCACACUGUUAGUCACAGCUCUUUGAAAGCUGCUCUGUGAAGCAGGAAACCUCACCAGUAUUUGAGGCAACAUUACAACCAUAAGUCCCUCACUGUAGUAACAAUUUGCAAGAUAUCUGUUCUAAUGAUGGAAAGAAAAGGAGCCACACUGUCAGUACUCUGCUGAAGGCCUGCCUUGCUUCUCUUCUUUGCUGUGUGAUCAUGGAGACCACAUACAUGAAGAGAACCAGCCCUAUUGCAGGAGGCCACAGGAUCCGAGCCAUGGAGACCAAGAACACUCUACACUGGGUAGAACUCACCAGGGCAAUCUGUGGUUGGGCUGGCAGGUCAAGUAGCUACAAUCCUACCCUCAGGAAAGAGUAGGUGGCAGAAAAUAAAACACCACCGUAAAAGAGAUUGUCUCACACCCUUGCUUUUACACAGCUGCAAUCAAGGUAGGGUUGUGUAGGUUCCUCAGCUUGACUGUGUAUACUAUCAUGUGAAGUCCUGUCAAAACUGAGCUUUAUAGAAAGAAGGACGUGCCCCACAGCCAGCUUUCAGUGAUAGAAGCUUUUGCACCCUUUUGAAUAUUGUAUGAGAAAGAAAUAUGCCAGAGAAAAAUAAAACUGCCUUCAUUUUAGUGAAGCUUUUUUUCUUACGGCUACCACCCACUCAGCUUCAAAGAAAUAAACAUUGCGAAGUGGACACACAGCCUCCAGUGCCCAGACACUGAUGGGGUGCUCUGGGAUGCAUAAAACUUCCUGACAAAGAACAGCAGCACCAGCAAACGUGCAAGGUAAUAGCAAAAAUACACAGAGCUAAGCACUUGU
Molecule: long non-coding RNA, 925 nt
Filed under: Meleagris gallopavo (turkey)
Lineage: Eukaryota; Metazoa; Chordata; Aves; Galliformes; Phasianidae
Description: lncRNA (ENSMGAG00000021493.1)
Source: RNAcentral